This 380-nucleotide ribosomal RNA is filed under the name uncultured eukaryote. Its description in RNAcentral is "partial 18S ribosomal RNA". It matches the Rfam family "Eukaryotic small subunit ribosomal RNA", at positions 592 to 976 of the family's 1831-position model. The record is from RNAcentral.
CAAUAGCGUAUAUUAAAGUUGUUGCAGUUAGAACGCUCGUAGUCGGAUUUCGGGGCGGGCCGACCGGUCUGCCGAUGGGUACGCACUGGUCGGCGCGUCCUUCCUUCCGGAGACCGUGCCUACUCUUAACUGAGCGGGGGCGGGAGACGGAUCUUUUACUUUGAAAAAAUCAGAGUGUUUCAAGCAGGCAGCUCGCUCUUGCAUGGAUUAGCAUGGGAUAAUGAAAUAGGACUUUGGUGCUAUUUUGUUGGUUUCGAACACCGAAGUAAUGAUUAAAAGGGACAGUCAGGGGCACUCGUAUUCCGCCGAGAGAGGUGAAAUUCUCAGACCAGCGGAAGACGAACUACUGCGAAAGCAUUUGCCAGGGAUGUUUUCACUGA